GGAGGGAUCAUUACCGAGUUAUACAACUCAUCAACCCUGUGAACAUACCUAAAACGUUGCUUCGGCGGGAACAGACGGCCCCGUAACACGGGCCGCCCCCGCCAGAGGACCCCCUAACUCUGUUUCUAUUAUGUUUCUUCUGAGUAAAACAAGCAAAUAAAUUAAAACUUUCAACAACGGAUCUCUUGGCUCUGGCAUCGAUGAAGAACGCAGCGAAAUGCGAUAAGUAAUGUGAAUUGCAGAAUUCAGUGAAUCAUCGAAUCUUUGAACGCACAUUGCGCCCGCCAGUAUUCUGGCGGGCAUGCCUGUUCGAGCGUCAUUACAACCCUCAGGCCCCCGGGCCUGGCGUUGGGGAUCGGCGAGGCGCCCCCUGCGGGCACACGCCGUCCCCCAAAUACAGUGGCGGUCCCGCCGCAGCUUCCAUUGCGUAGUAGCUAACACCUCGCAACUGGAGAGCGGCGCGGCCACGCCGUAAAACACCCAACUUCUGAAUGUUGACCUCGAAUCAGGUAGGAAUACC
This 520-nucleotide unclassified non-coding RNA is filed under the name Fusarium solani. RNAcentral describes it as "sequence contains ITS1, 5.8S rRNA gene, ITS2". The stretch from base 166 to 319 matches the Rfam family "5.8S ribosomal RNA". Lineage: Eukaryota; Fungi; Ascomycota; Sordariomycetes; Hypocreales; Nectriaceae. The record is from RNAcentral.